This 440-nucleotide ribosomal RNA is filed under the name uncultured bacterium. RNAcentral describes it as "partial 16S ribosomal RNA". It matches the Rfam family "Bacterial small subunit ribosomal RNA", at positions 338 to 795 of the family's 1533-position model. The record is from RNAcentral.
CCUACGGGUGGCAGCAGUGGGGAAUAUUGCACAAUGGGGGAAACCCUGAUGCAGCGACGCCGCGUGAGUGAAGAAGUAUCUCGGUACGUAAAGCUCUAUCAGCAGGGAAGAAAAUGACGGUACCUGACUAAGAAGCCCCGGCUAACUACGUGCCAGCAGCCGCGGUAAUACGUAGGGGGCAAGCGUUAUCCGGAUUUACUGGGUGGAAAGGGAGCGUAGACGGCGGAGCAAGUCAGAAGUGAAAGCCCUGGGCUUAACCGCGGGACUGCUUUUGAAACUGUGUAGCUAGAGUGCAGGAGAGGUAAGUGGAAUUCCUAGUGUAGCGGUGAAAUGCGUAGAUAUUAGGAGGAACACCGGUGGCGAAGGCGGCUUACUGGACUGUAACUGACGUUGAGGCUCGAAAGCGUGGGGAGCAAACAGGAUUAGAUACCCCAGUAGUC